UGGGAGAUAUUGCACAAUGGGCGCAAGCCUGAUGCAGCCAUGCCGCGUGUAUGAAGAAGGCCUUCGGGUUGUAAAGUACUUUCAGCGAGGAGGAAGGCAUUAAGGUUAAUAACCUUAGUGAUUGACGUUACUCGCAGAAGAAGCACCGGCUAACUCCGUGCCAGCAGCCGCGGUAAUACGGAGGGUGCAGCGUUAAUCGGAAUUACUGGGCGUAAAGCGCACGCAGGCGGUCUGUCAAGUCGGAUGUGAAAUCCCCGGGCUCAACCUGGGAACUGCAUUCGAAACUGGCAGGCUAGAGUCUUGUAGAGGG
This 310-nucleotide ribosomal RNA is filed under the name uncultured Enterobacteriaceae bacterium. RNAcentral's name for it is "bacterial SSU rRNA". It matches the Rfam family "Bacterial small subunit ribosomal RNA", at positions 355 to 658 of the family's 1533-position model. Lineage: Bacteria; Pseudomonadati; Pseudomonadota; Gammaproteobacteria; Enterobacterales; Enterobacteriaceae. The record is from RNAcentral.